UAGCAGUAAGAAGGCGUCAUUGAUUUUCACAGUUGAGGAAAAUAAAUAUGUGGCUACAUGCAAAAAUAUAAGGAUUUGCCUUUCUUUUACAGGGCAAUGGGUGCAAAAAUUAAAAUAACAUAUUAGUGCAACUGCAAAUUCAAUGACUUGUCACUCAACACCAGAAAUUCUAAAACUUAAGCAGUCAUACGCGAAUCAUGAAUGCAAAGCUUCUCUUUGCUCUGAAACUGUUGCGAUGAAUAUUGAACUCGGGGGCAUACACGUACUUGCACUAGUAGAAAAUGGGGCAAUGGUCCAGGCCGGCUCAGCCCAUUAGUCUCGGUUCAGUCUAGAACCGGGACCAAUGGUGGCAUUGGACCCGGUUCGUGAGCCCCGGGGGCCGGCCGAGCCACGUGGGCCAUUGGUCCCGGUUCGUCUGGACCUUUUGGUCCCGGUUGGUGGGACGAAGCGGGACCAAUGGGCCUCGUUCCUGGCCCACCACCAUUGGCCCCGGUUGGUGGGAUGAACCGGGACUAAAGGCAGCCCAUUAGUCCCGGUUGGUGGCACGAACCGGGACUAAAGGGGUGGUCCUCGUUGCGGUCAGAGUUUAGUCCCACCUCGCCAACCGAAGGGCGCUCACACCCGUUUAUAAGCCCCUCCUUCUCUGCCUUGUUGAGCUCCUCUCAAAGUGAAAAUAGAUGCCCUUAUACAGGGAAUUUGACCUAAAUUCAUAUUGAAUUUCUCUGAAGUUAGUAGAAAUUUAUUAUGAAUUUAGGUCUAAUUUUCUCUAUAAGCGCAUCUAUGCUCAUUUUUUUAGUAAAGUUAAUCACAACUAUUUUUUCUUCUAUUUAUUUCUGAGUAGUUUUUUAUAUAGUUUUUUCUCUUUUCUGCUAUAUUUAUUUUUUUCUAUUUAUUUCUGAGUUGUAAUAAGUCUUUAAAAAUAAAAAAGAGGCAUAAUGCUCGUUAAUUAGCUUCAAGCCUUUCGGAAUAGUGUAAACUACACUGCACAUAGCUCCGUGCAGUCUACCAUAUUCCUCAAGGCUUAAAGCUAAGCAACGUCAGGUUAGCAUUGAGCCUCUUCUGCAUGGUCUCUGCACUCGGGGCUUAUAAAUCGCUGCGAGUGCCUCUCGCUUGUCGAGGUGGGACUAAAAAACAGCUGCAGAAAGAAUCAACUAAAAAGCUCUUUUACCGGUUCAUGGCACGAACCGGUACUAAAAGGUGCUCGUGGGGCACCGGCCUUAAAACCUGUACCAAAUAAAAUGCCUUUGUAACAGCCUUAGAACUGGUACCGGAGGAAUCAACUAAAAAGCUUUUAUGAAGCUCUAGUAUUAUUGAAACUAAAAUUAUAUAGAAUUUUGUUACAAACUUUAAUAGCAAAAAGGAUUAUAAUAAAAGAAAAUAAAUAAGUAAUUAGAAUUCUGUUCAAAACAUUAAAAGCAAAAAGAAUUAUCAUAAAAGAAAAUAAAUAAGUAAUUAGAAUUCUGUUCAAAACAUUGAAAACAAAAAGAAUUAUCAUAAAAGAACAUAAAUAAGUAAUUAGAAUUUUGUUACAAACUUUAAUAGCAAAAAAAUUUAUCAUACAAGAAAAUAAAUAAGUAAUUAGAAAGAUUAUAAUUAUCUGAGCUAAAAUAAAAAAAAUAAAAAAAAGCAAAAAUCAAAAGAAAAUAAAUAAUUCAAAGCAAAAAAUAAAAUAAAAAAAGUGCCACCUAAAGGGCUACCAUGGCCUGAAUACGACUAGAAACCCAACAAUGGGCCAGAAUUCAGGCCCGCAAUAGGCCCAAUAGGCCCACAGGCACAUAUAGUGAGUUUAGGCCCGUAAGCCUGCAUUUGAGAGGAGCUCGAGAGGGCAGCGGGACUGGGGCUUAUAAACCACCCUCGAGCUCCGUCAGCUAGUGAGGUGGGACUAAACUUUCGUGCCGCGACGCGGGCAACACAGGGCCUUUAGUCCCGGUUGGUGCCACCAACCGGAACUAAAGGGGUGCAUCGGUCCCUGUUCGUGGCACCAACCGGGACCAAUGCCCCCCAUUAGUCCNNNNNNNNNNNNNNNNNNNNNNNNNNNNNNNNNNNNNNNNNNNNNNNNNNNNNNNNNNNNNNNNNNNNNNNNNNNNNNNNNNNNNNNNNNNNNNNNNNNNNNNNNNNNNNNNNNNNNNNNNNNNNNNNNNNNNNNNNNNNNNNNNNNNNNNNNNNNNNNNNNNNNNNNNNNNNNNNNNNNNNNNNNNNNNNNNNNNNNNNNNNNNNNNNNNNNNNNNNNNNNNNNNNNNNNNNNNNNNNNNNNNNNNNNNNNNNNNNNNNNNNNNNNNNNNNNNNNNNNNNNNNNNNNNNNNNNNNNNNNNNNNNNNNNNNNNNNNNNNNNNNNNNNNNNNNNNNNNNNNNNNNNNNNNNNNNNNNNNNNNNNNNNNNNNNNNNNNNNNNNNNNNNNNNNNNNNNNNNNNNNNNNNNNNNNNNNNNNNNNNNNNNNNNNNNNNNNNNNNNNNNNNNNNNNNNNNNNNNNNNNNNNNNNNNNNNNNNNNNNNNNNNNNNNNNNNNNNNNNNNNNNNNNNNNNNNNNNNNNNNNNNNNNNNNNNNNNNNNNNNNNNNNNNNNNNNNNNNNNNNNNNNNNNNNNNNNNNNNNNNNNNNNNNNAGAUAUUUUUAUGAUUUUUUCUGUUGUAGUUUAGAUGUCAAUUUUUUUAUGAUUUUUUUCUGUUCAUAGAAUUUUUAUGAUUUUUUUCUGUUCUAAUAUUGUUCAUAGAAUUUUAAUGAUUUUUUUGUUCAUAGUAUUUUCUUUGUCAAUUUAUUAUGUAUGUAUAGGAAAUUUGUUAGAAAAAUAAUAGAACUAUAGUUAAACUAGUUUAUUUUUAGUAAGUAGUAUUUUAUUUUAUUUAUAGUAAGUGCUUCAUAUAUAGUUGAAUUAGCUAGUUGAUUUAAUAAACCAAUUUAUUUUACUAUAUAUAGAAGUAGUUUAUUUUUAAUAAGUACUACUUUAUUUAUUUAUAGUAAGUGCUUAGUAGUUGAACUACUUGAUUUAAUUAAUAAAACUACUUUAUUUAACUAUAUAUAGAAGUAUUUCCGGCAUCGACAUCGACGAUGCCUAUCCCGCAUCCUCGUCGUCGUCGACUCGGCGGUGGUGGAGGCCUGCUUGAUCAGGGCCAUGUUCGGGACUGGGCUCCGCCGGGCUGGUAUUGGGAGGUGCUACCUUCUGGGGGACGUAGGUUGGUGAGGAGGCAGCCCGUUGUUGACCCGAUCCUUGUUUGAUGGCGGUCGCGUGGGCCAGUGACGGUGCCGAGGCUUCCGGACACCGCGGAGGUGGUACGUCACCGUGUCAGCGAGGAGGACAAGCACGUCCGUCGCUACAUGGUUGCGUUGGAGGGCAGGUUCGACAAUACCUGACAGAUUCUUCAGGGAUCUCACUGGAGAUAUGACCCUGUGAUCGUUCCUUAUCUUUGGGUGUCCACUGCCCGCGACGAUACCCGUCGGGCGCUACGGUUCUAGCUGUAUUAAUUAGCGAUGCUAUAUGUAUGAUAGUAUUCGAGGAGUAUUCGACGAUGUACGAACACAAGAGAUGAUGUACUUUUGGUUAUAAUUGAAUGCAUGCUAAUUCGAAUACUACUUUAUUUUACGAUUUGGUUUUGCUUAUUGAAUGCUCAUAUUGGAAAAGUACUCCUACUUUGAAUGCUAAAAUUGAAGAGCACUCUAUGCAGAAAUCUAGGAGCCCCCUCCAUCAUUCACGCCGUCGUGGGGGUAGCUUCUCCUUCAUUCCCGUGUGCUAGACAAUUUGUUGUAAUAAUGCACUCGGGAAUGAAAGGAGGAGCUACGUACCAUCACCGAUAGUCAACCCGUGAUUAAUAAUAAUGAUCAAAUUUAGGUUUUUAGUACAUAUAUUUAAUAUUUGAAUUAUGAACUUAGGCCGGAAAUGUCGUACUUGGACGAUGAAAACCGCCCGGGGAGUGCGACUGGUGCCACGACGACCGAGGUAUGUGCGACAUGUUCAUUGAGCUGGACGAAGAUCGACGCUUCAGCAUUAAGCUCGAGGAGACCUUCGAUGUUCAUAUGGUACACAACGACGACAAUAGUUUUUUUCGUAAUUAAGCACGACUUCAACUAUUUUAAUGUGUAUUUUUUAUCUUUUCCAAUUCGACUAGCUUAUCCUAUGCUAUGCAAGACGCUAUGUCUUGGAGAGGAUGGGUUUUGAAGACAGUGAAAGUAUGGAAACCAAAAAAAUUCUCCUAAGGACCCAUCAUGGUGUGGAUUUUCAAGUAAAGAUGUACAAUGCUGAGAGUGUAACCCGUUUUGGUUGCAAAAAUUGAGAAGCACUUUGCAAGAUGUAUGGUUUUAAUGAGGGUAUGCUUGUCACCAUGGAUCUUGGUGAUCCUACAAUCCAGCAAGACAAUAUGGGCAUUUGGGUCCUUGUGGAUACACCUCCAAUUCUUCCCCCAUGUGAGCUUAACAUAGUUAUUAAGUAAUUUAUAUUGUUUAUUUCAAAAUAGUUGACAACUUGUUUCCAUUGACAGCUUAUUUUCAUUCUAAUGAGCUUAACAUAGUGGCACAUAUUGACCAUAAUGUUGAGGAGUUCGAUUGUAGACAAAACCCACUACACUGAUGGCUCCGAAUUAAUUUAUAAGGAGAAAAAUCAUCUAAUCGCAUUUUGUACUGAUCUUGAGAAUUACAAUGUCUACAAUCGAACUCCUCAACAUUAUGGUCAAUACGUGCCACUAGUGCACGUGUUGAACUACGGUAACUACCAUGGAGAUACCCUGGUAAGAUUUUUUACUAUUACGACAUCCCUGCAUCUUUUUAAAUACUUCUAAAACUAGUACAUGAUUGCUAACUACGAAGUUAUUACUAUGUUUUUCAACAGAUAAACCCGAAUGAUUGUGUGCCUCAUCUGAUGUAUACGCACGGUCCCCUUGUUGUUUUGAACAUACAACCAGGUCGUCCUACGAAUCUCAAUUGUCCAUACCGGAUUUUUAAAAGAAAUGGAGACAUGACAAUCAAAGAAUGAAAAAAAUGUAUGGAUAGUCGUAAGGAGCUUCUUGCAAGCAAAAGGAGGCGAAGCGCAAGAAUUGGAGACAGGAUGAUCUCCAUUCUUCAUAAUGGAGAGUCAGGGUCUAUAUUAUUUUAUGCUAUUUUACCUUAAGGGUGUUUAGGUCCUACCUGAUACUGAUGACCAUGUGCUAAGAACAAUUAUGUAGGAUUGGGUUCGAUGACUAUGAGAAGGAUGAUCGUAUGACUUUUUAUUAAUAACGAGUAGAAGUUGUAUGAUGAUGCAUGAUUAGUAGGACUUGUUAUUAUAUAUGAUGAUGUAUGAUGCGAGCAUGCAUGAGUUAUUAUAUAUCAGCGGGUGAAAUGAACAUACCAGUAUAAGAGAGGACACUUCUCUCUAUUAGCUAGUUAAUAACAACCUAAAAUUAACCCCCCAAACCCCUAAACCAACCACUGUUUAAAAAAAACCUUAACUGCUGACACGUGGAAGCCUUUUGGUCCCGGUUCAUGUCACCAACCGGGACCAAAGGCCCCCUUGUCUGGGCUGCUCGCAGUGGCCACGUGGAGGCCCAUCUGUCCCGGUUCGUGUUAGAAUCGGGACUAAAGGGUGGAGGCAUUAGUCACGACCCUUUAGUCCCGGUUCAAGAACCGGGACUAAAGGCCCUUACGAACCGGGACUGAUGCCCCCUUUUCUACUAGUGUUGUCCCCACAGAAAAUUUAAUUUCAAAGUUUUGACAUACGCCCUGUCUAUGACACGUGGGUCCAAACCCACAAUCAUAGACAUGGGCAAUGUGUUUUACUUUGCAGGGGAUAUCCCAUGGAAAGAAGAAACAUUGCAUAUCAUAGCACCUUUGUUCUUCGGAAUAAACAUAAUAUUUUUUAUGAUCCCCAGAAAAGAACACCAAUUUAAAAGGAGUGCCGCUAUGCAUACCACGCUAUGCGUCCGAUUUUCGUAAGACAAUGAAGAUUGAGCCGUCUUUGCAUUGGAGUAAACCGGUAAACUGUAGCAUGAGAAUUGAUUAGUCAUCGUACUAUGAUCGUAUCAAUAAGUGAUGUUUAUAGAAGCCUGCAACCCUGCCUCUAACUAGACUACUUUCCCACAAAAAAAAACUACACUACCACAAUUUGCACAAUUUCGCGGUUACAAUGUGCAAGAUCAACAGCUGGCAAACACAUAUGUAAAAACAUCUCUUGCGAAAUUCGUGAAGGGGGUGUUUAGUUAGACAUAAUUUGUGACUUUUUGGUUUUUGGCUUAUAAGCCAUUAAAAAAACCCUAUUUGUGUUCUUUUUUCUUUCGCUUUUAGCUUUACCUAUUAUGUGCUUUUGGCUUAGGUGCUUUUUGGCAUAUAAGCUAAAUUCAAAAGCCAAAAGUAUGCCUAAACAAACACCCCCGAAAGCAUCAUCUCUAGUGAAUUCCUGCAGUGAGAAGCUUGAUUUGGAUACAUCUGACCAGCUCAACAAAUUCACUAUGCAAAGCCUGAAAAGUCUAGAGAUAGUGUCAAAUCACCAUAAAGAAGACAAAAGUGACUUGGGAAAGACUUUCCCCCCUUGAUCUCUGCCGGCGAGCCCGUAGAUUCGCCUCCUCACCGCCUGCCGCUCCGGCGGCCAGUGACGGGGAGGAGAAUCCUAGUGUCUCGACUCCUGCUAGUAGAUAAGUAGGGUUUAGUCCUCGCAGGGGCGGCGUUUGGACGGAUGACGGUGCUCCUUCUUUGAGUCAAUCUUCCGGGCUCCGAUCCUUCUCAAGUUCGUCCAUUGGGACGGAUUAGAUGGAGCUCUGGCGUAGAUUCCUUCCAGCACCUUGGGGCAGCGAGGUUAGGGUUUCUCGCCAUGCGUACGCAACAGUGAUAUUUGGUGUCAGGUUCUUCAAAUCGAUUCAAGGAUUCAACAACGACGACUGCGGCUCCAGGGCGCUAGUCCUUAGGGGUACGUGCAUGAGGACUUCUCGGCUAUCAUUGACAAGGUUAGGCCGGCUCCAAUAUUGGAGCAACGACAUUGACGCGUCGGCGGCUCGUUCUGGCAGCGGCGAUGAUCGUUCGGUGGUCGAUGGACGUCGAUGUAAUUUUUGUUAUGCUUGAGGUCAUUUGUACUUUCGGUGAAUCUUUAUAAUAGAUCUAAUUCUUUUCGCAAAAACAAAGUAAACUGAACUAGCAUUGUGCGGUGAAAGAAUGAGACAAGUUCUUACAUCAUUGCACAUGUUGAAAAUAAUAUCAUCCAUUGUGAAGGCAUUGAGUUAAUCAUUAAGAGCCCGUUGAUAACCUAUGUUGUUUUGCAUAGGGAGGAUGCCAUUUGCAUCCCGGUCAUUAAGCAUGUAAGUUGUUGUGACAAAACUGUCUGGCCGAAGGUGGGACAUUGGAAAACUGGUACUUCGACGAUUAACCAUCCGAGCCGGCGCCAAUGAAGCACUACUAGUACCAAGUGCAAAGUUCUCAUUCAACAUCAUCCCGCUUGCCAUGUUUGAAUGGCUCCACUGGCUCAUUUAAGCACCCACUGAUGUAGUGUGCAUUAGACAUCCCUGCAUUGCUUAGUAUGUUGAAUGGUGCCAUCGCUUACCGAAUUCUUCCAUUGAUGUACUGAUGUGAUAUUCCACAAAUGAAGGGGGUCAAUUGCAGACCUUUUCGAUAAGUAAGAGUGGUGAACCCAAUGAUAAGAACGAGGAAUUGGUGAGCAGAAAAAAUUGUAUGCAUUUACUGCAAGUGCUAAAAAAUGUUGCCAUGUUCUGUUUUGUUAUUGGAGAGUUUGCAAAAAUAAAUAGCAAUACAAUUAAAAUAGUACAACCUGUGGCACAAACAAUAAUUGUGUUAAGGGCAGGCAUGUUGUGUUUCUUAUGUGGACCAAAAAGUUCUCUAAGACGGCAAGAAUAUCGCACAAUUGCUAAUUCUAUAGUGAUCUGCAUUGAUUACUUUUGCUUGGUCACUAUUGUGGGGAUAGAGUCUAAGCCUAUAUGUUGCAAAACCAUUGACUAACGCAUACUCAUGAUUGUCUCUUCAGAAAGCAUCCACAAUUACUAAGAGAAAUUAAGACAUAAGCCUAACCAUAGCAUUAUUCUCUAGGGUCCCUAUUCACCCCUCAUGUUAUCAAGGGUAUAGUAAAAGUCUGAGAAAAAACAUGGUGUCCUAUCCCACCUCCCACCCCAACAAUGGCACCCUAUGAUAUUGGCCAAUGGAGGGCCUCCUUCACUGGGAUUUCUCCCCCGGUCUCGCGGUUGUGGCUCUGGUACGUCAACGAUUUGAUUCUAUGGUUCACUUUCCCUCCUAUGGAUCAAUGAAAUAAUUCUUCUGGUUGUUUCUUUAUCCCCGGCUACCUUCACUAUCAUGGCUGUUUUGGUUGGAACUACACUAAAUGUUGCAUUGGUGGUUCUCCAAUCCAUCUGGACUUAACAUACAUCAUUUGAGGAACGCAAUUGCCAAUUUUCUGUGGCUUCCAAUCGAGAUGGUCAUUUUAUCUGUGGUCUUAAGGCCCAGAUUUGGCCUGACUUUGUUUGCCACUUCCAAUAGUUCUGACCGGAAUUAUAGGAUUACUCAAUGGUUGAUGAUUUGUGGCACUCAGAUAACAUGAAUGAAAUGAUCCUAGCUCACACUCCUAUGGUAGCGAAAACCAAGUUAAAUUUUCUUUGAUAGAGAUCAAUUGGUGAUUCCUCGGCCACCAAAGAGCUGGCCAAAUAUGGAUUUUAUUCUUUCUAGGUAAACUCGUCGGAAUUGGGCUCCUAUUCGCUAGAAAAAUUCAAAUUCUUCCUAGUUACAUUUUGGAAGUUGAUACGUCUCCAACGUAUCUAUAAUUUAUGAAGCAUUCAUGCUAUAUCUACGUGAGUUCUAUAUGCUUCUGGUGCACUUAUAUAUUAUUUUUAUGGACUAACAUAUCUUACAUUCUUAAGAAGUUUAUCCCCCUUACAAGGCAUUCUCUCAACAUGCAGAUUAUUCACCUCAACAUUCCCAUGUCUCCAUUGCAGUUACUGAUAACAACUAUGUAUCUCUUUCUGACUAUCUCUCUCACCAGCCCAACAGCCCCUCUUCAGCCUCUCCCCACCGCCUAAUAACCUUCCCAAUUAACUUAUUUACCCAUUGAUUUCCAUCACCAAUUCCUAUUCAUCUUAUCCAUCGAAUAAAUUCAUGAGUAACAGAUGGAGUCGCCUUUAAACUCCCGUCGUCACCACAACAAUUAGAAGAGCAUCGGCUGCCGUCUGGCCUAGACAGCUGCCGCCCCAACCGUCCAACCCACGAUAGCCACCCACCGCCGCCCAUCCUGGACCUGCCACCCUGUCUGGACCCGCAGGUCAACGCCAACGACUAGGGCGCCAUCGCUAGCCACCUGUCUGCUGGCGUAGCCCUCGACCAAGACGCAACAUGCGCCACCUGCCCCAAUCCAGCCGCGUGCCGCCGCUAGAAACCUUCCCGAGCCCCUGCCGCCAACCCGGCCACACGCCGCGUGCCACCACCAACAGCCCCACCCAUCCCCAGCUGCGGAUCGAGACCUGUUGAAGCGACAUGGUGCAAAUCAUGCAUGUGAAUAAUUAUUUUAUGAUAUACAAUCAUAUAACAUCAAACCUUAUUAAUUUGAUUUAAGGGAUGUGGCAACGCUUACUAUCAUAGUGAAAAAUGCCUACGAAAACAAGCAAAAAACGUAUGAAAGGAGUCAACGUGCCACAUGACAAAUGGAGAUGAAAUUAAGGAGUUAAGUGCCACACGAUAGAGGAAAUGAAAGUAGUCAAUGCGCCAUGGAACAAACAGAGAUUAAAUGAGUCAACACACCACGCGACAAAUGGAGAUGAAAGGAUUAUUCAAGGCAACAAUGACAUAUGGAGAUUAAAUGAAUCAACACGCUAUGCGACAAAUAUAUCUCUUGAUAAUCUAGACAUUUAGAUUUGGAGAGUUAGAUUGGAACUUAAUGAUUUAUAUAUAGGGUGGCCUAGGGGCACCACUUAAGCUCUUUGAUACAAUGAAAUUCCAGCAUGAUACAAUGAUCUACAAGAAUUACUAUUAAAUGCAUUGCUUGUUGAAUUUCAUACUACGUAAUUUUCCCCCAUGUACCUUCUAAAUGGGGGCAAUAGAGCAGAGUUUGGUGAGAUCAUCUUCGGUCUUUUAUUUUAAGAAAAACAUGGAAGGGAUGAUAUCCGAUGACUUUCGUGAUUGUACUCAUCUUUAUUUGGACAAAUUGAGAUUGUGCAAUGUCACCUCAAUUCUCAAGUAGAUUAUGAGAUACUAUAGAGUGGGAGAUGGUCUCUCAAAUCUUUUUUGAUAGGAAUAAAUGAAUAAGAGCCAUGCAUACUAUCUACAUGUAAAAUUUGAUUACGGAAAAGGAGUCCAUGCACCAUGCAGAAAUGAGAUGCAAUGGAAACUAGAAAGUUUCCAUUUCCAUUGGGCGAGUCUUCUCAAAAACAAAUUCAUAAAAAGAGAAUACAGUAGCUGGACUCCAUUCAAAGCAAUGAGCUUAAGUGGUGUCUCUAGGUCUUUCUAUACAAAACUCGUUGGGUGCCAUCUGAGGCACCAAAUAUGAAGUUUUUGAUUCUCAGAACAUAUAUAGUCGCAUAGUGGGAUGAAUCAUUUCAUCUCAUUUUUCAUGUAUCGUGUUGAAUCAUUUCAUCUCCAUGUGUCAUGUGGCGUGCUGACUCCUUUCACCUGUGUUUGCCGAGUGGCACUUUGACUCCUUUCACCCCCUCCAUUGUGUGGCACAUCAACUUCUUUCAUCUCCAAUUGUUUGGUGGCAUGUUAACUCCUUUCAUCUCCAUUGGUCUGGUUCUCGUAAGCAUUUCUCCACAAUGAUAGUAAACACUGCCGCAUCCCACAACUCAUAUUAAUAGGAUUUCUAAUAACAUAUGUUUGUAUUUCAUAACAUAAAUUUUUAUGUGCAUGAACAAUUCGUUCUCCAGCGUAAUUCAUUGGACAUCAUUCCUUUUCACUAUUUUUGAAAAAAGAACAUGAAACUAGUAAAUGUUAACUCUUGGGCCAUAUACGUACCACAAACAGAAACAUAUUAACAUUUGACAAGAAUGGAAACAAUAAUGGAAUUUUAUUGAGGGGGAUAAUAAAAAAUUGGCAGAAACUGUCACACCUUUCAUAAAACUACACACAUCCAUGGCAUGGACCACAAGAACUCCACUCGAUGGAUCCUUGUAUUUCUUUUCUCUCUUCUUCGUAAACGAUAUUUCUUCUUUCUUGAACAUCUUGGCCUGACUUCAUACUCACAAAGCUAAACAAUUAUCGUAGUGGUGUUGGACAGAGGAUGCAAUUAUUUGGUUCGAAUUUGUGUAUUGCUCUCGCCCUAGUCUGAAAUACCCUUGAACUUAUGUUCGAGAAGUGUUUUAUUUUUUAAAUAAAAGGCCCUUGUAAAAUUAUGAUUCCAGGAAGUCAUACGGCCCGAUAUGUAUGCAACUGAAAUCGAAGAUAACCUCCAUCUUUUUAUCCGAUGCCCACUUUCUUGUGAGCUGUGGUAUGCUAUGGCAGAAGACUAGGUCCUGCCGGAGAUUAAUGAGAUUGAAAACACGGGUAAAGAGUGGUUAUUGCAUGCACUUGAACCCCCUCCUAGACAUCGAACGCGCCAUGCUGUUGAUGACCUUAUGGCGCUGCUGGCACAUCCACAAUGAAGUUGUUCAUCACAAACCGCCACCCCCGGCGAAAGCAUCUAAAAGAUUUCUCGUAUGCUACCUGGACUCUAUCAUUGGGCUCAAAACUGAAUUGUGUGAUGGUCCUUGCAAAGGUAAAUCUAUCAUCGCGUAUCACCAAACAGUGAGAACAAGAAUGACAAGUCAGGUGGAUAGAUGGAGUUCGCCCCAUGUUGGGUCGGUGAAAUUAAACAUUGACAGGUCCUAUGGGCGAAGAUGGUGCCGCCGGAAAGAUCUUACGGAAUGACAAUGAUGCUAUCAUUUUUUUGGCCUGUAGGGCACCGUUUUCAUGUUCAGAAGCAUUGGAAGCGAAACUUUGUGCGUGUAUGGAAUGACUCUCAUUUUAAAUCCAGAGAAGUGAAUUGCCAAUUAUUGUGGAGAUGGACUCCAUGGUUGAGGUGAAGGUGAUUCAGUCGCAUGAGAUAGGCAGAUCUUUAUAAUCUUCCAUUGUACGAAAGAUUAGGCACUUGAUGAGCCUUUUAGUACUUGUAUUACUCUUGUUAACCACACUCAAAAUAAGGUUAGUGAUAGUCUAGCUAAGUUUGCAAAGGUUGAAGAAAGAACCAUGACCUAGAUUUGUUCAGGACCUUCAGCUUCUUUAGAGCUAGCUCAUGCAGAUUAUAAUGACCAUGAUAUUUGAGUAAUACAAAUUUUUACCUGCAAAAAAAGUGGAAAAAUGAGAGGUAACCUAUGCACAAUAAUAUGAGUUUAGGAGGGAACCAACUUGUGAUUGGAUAGUCAGAAGGACAGUGGUAUCCCCUGCCCGCCAGAGUUCAAGUCCCAGACAUGACAUUGGUGCUUGUAUUUUCUCAUCAAUCUCAAGAUGAUGUGUCGUCUCAGUCUCUCGGAGGUGUUCAUAGGGGUACGAUGAUGUGUGUGCGUUCCUAGGGAUGAGUGUAUGUUUAUGUAUGUGAGCGACUUGGAUUGUACCGACUUCCCGACUGUCUACUGCAACAAGUUGUGCCCGGCUCCGGCGAUGGAGGGGUGAUGACGGCGGCACGCCUUCGGCUCGCUUCGGUGCUUAUAGUCGUCGCUAGGUGGUCUACGAAUAUGGAUGUAAUCUUUAUUUCUGGUAUUCGUUGUACUGCCAUGAUUGAAGAUGAAUAGAUUGGAAGUUUUUCCGCAAAGAAAAGAAAACAAAUAUGAGUUUAGGCCUCACACAUUGUCACGUCCCUGCAAAGGUAGGUAGGGAUGUGGCCGUUGAGGCAAUGAACGCGCUCUCCGUUUCCGGUCAAAGGAAGCACAAAGACACUCUGUCCAUGGCCAUGCAACCGAACAAAGCAGGAGUCUCUCAUUUUUGUAAUUCAAAUCAUAUCUUCGUGAUCCAACAUUUGUUAAGAAAAGAACAAAAAAGCAAAAAACAGCAACACAGCCCGUGGUUUUGCUUUCCAAAAUACAUGCACAAAAUCAUAUCAUCGGCGGACAGCACAAGCAGACACCAAAAUACAUGCACAAAAUUAGUACUGUAGAUUCAGAAACUAAUACUGUAGAUUCAGAAAUUAAUACUGUAGAUUCAGAAAUUAUUGAGUAGAAAUUAAGUAGCGCAUGAACAGAACCCAAAAUCAAGCACGGGGAGGGAAAGGAGGGAUCUAAUCUAACAGAGGUUUUGGGUUGUGUUCUUAGAUGUCUGUGGGCUUUGUGUUGGUUAGGUCCCUUGUUCCUUAAUCAGUGUUUUACUUCAUGUCGUUUGCUUUGGCAGGUGGGAAGGAGUUCGGAAAACAAUGGCCGCGAUGGGUGGGGACCAAAGGCAGAUGAUGGAGGAUGCGGCGGAGGACAAGUUCCCGGAGGGGUUACGAGUCCUCGCCGUGGACGACGACUGCGUCUGCCUCAAGGUGCUAGAGAACCUCUUGCGCGGCUGCAAAUACCACCGUGAGUCUCUUGAAUCUUGAUCCCUCCGCUUCGCCAAAGUCCAUUAGGAUCGGAGCCUUGUGAUGUUUUUGUUUCUCUGCGAAUAAUGCUUUUUGCGAUGCAGCAACGACUGUGAAGGAUGCCAAGAUGGCGCUGAAGAUUCUCAGCGCGGGGAAGGUGAAGUUCGACCUGGUCAUCACCGACGUGCGCAUGCAGGACAUGGACAGCUUGAAGCUCCUCGAGCGCAUCCGCCUCGAGAUGGAUCUGCCCGUCAUCAGUACACUCACUGCUCAAUUCUAAGUCCUAGUUUUAUUUUUGUGUGUACGAGCUGACAAUUCUCUUUGAGAACGUACAUCUAAUCCUGAAUCUUGGAUAUACAGUGAGAGGAGAGGACAUCCAUUCCUUUGAGCAGCACGUGAGAUCCUAUAUAUUCAGCACGAUUUUAGGAAACCAAAUACACAUGCACGCCACACUCACCCUAUUUUUAACUUUGGGGAAAUCGAAAGAGUGGGAUCCCCUUUCAGCCCGAACCAACGGGAUCCCAUCUAACCAUUCAUCUGUCCGGUCGGAUGGCCAGUGGGCCGGGUAGUAGAGCGGAGGUGAAUCGACACAUUAGUGAAUUAGGAGGGGGCUGGAUCACAGGAUCCCUAGUGGUAUCGGUUCCUUGCCCGAACCAAUGGGAUCCAACCUAAUUGCUCAUCCAUCGAUCAAAUGGCUAGUGGGGGCAGGGGAAUGGAAGCGGUAGCAUGUGAUUUAUGAGAUCCAACUAAUUAUUGACUUAAAUAAUUGUGUUGAUUGUUUUUAGUAUGCUAUAAACAUGGUCAUGUGUACCAUAUAUAANNNNNNNNNNNNNNNNNNNNNNNNNNNNNNNNNNNNNNNNNNNNNNNNNNNNNNNNNNNNNNNNNNNNNNNNNNNNNNNNNNNNNNNNNNNNNNNNNNNNNNNNNNNNNNNNNNNNNNNNNNNNNNNNNNNNNNNNNNNNNNNNNNNNNNNNNNNNNNNNNNNNNNNNNNNNNNNNNNNNNNNNNNNNNNNNNNNNNNNNNNNNNNNNNNNNNNNNNNNNNNNNNNNNNNNNNNNNNNNNNNNNNNNNNNNNNNNNNNNNNNNNNNNNUAGGAACCGGUUCUAUUUUCGAUCAAUUGAUGUCCCAAUUGUAUUAAAACAUGCCGUCUGGAUUCAGUAUAAAUUUGUUUUAGAACUUCAAUACGUAGUGCCAGAAGUCUAGAGUUCAAUACCAUCCAUACAAUAUAUAUGGUAAUCUAGCUUAGUGUGAGUAUGUGUUACUCCUAUGCAAUGUAGACCCACUACUCGUAUGUGUUUGGUGCGGGUGCAUUGAUGGACUUAAUUUAAUUUUGUAUGCUCUCAAUUGUAAAAAUCUAGUCAUAAGAACCAAAAUUAUAAUAUAUUUUUAUUUUGUGAUAUGACCAAAUUAUAUUUAGUUGUUUUCUAAACUAAUAUUAAAUACCUAGUCCUUGCAAUCACACAAAGUAUAGAAUUGCACCACCUGUUUGCUAGGGUGGCAGGAGUAGUACAAUUAGGAAACUACGUAUGUUGUAUCUACGUCAUUAAAGGAUUACCCAUCUAUAAUCUGCUUGAGAUUGUUUGUUAAAAGUACUUACUCUUGAGAAUACCAUAUAAAGGAGUGCCACUUUAAAGCAGAUACAUUGAGUAGGUUAACCAUGUAAAAUAUCUACAAUCCUGAAGCUUUGUUGACUUUGAACUAGGACACUAAUUUGUAGUCCCAUUAUUUUUGCCGGCGAGUGCAACCAAAAAUACUUAUUAUCCUAAAAUGUAAUAAAAAUACUUAAGAUAAUGGCGCUGCCAUGUGUAUGACUGCUUAACAUGCUCAGAACAUUACACGAGCCGAUCACUUUUAUCUAGUGCGCUAGAGAAACAUGGUAAACCACCAAUAAUAGCAAUUGAUCUUCUUGUUCACUAGUACUUAAACGUGACGAUCUGAUUUACCUAGUUAGAACAUGGUGUUAUGAUGGUUUAGGCAUUGUGUCAUGGUUAUUUUUAUCCAUUAUUUGUGUUUUAUACUAUUAAUUGAAUGUGUGAAUGUUUUUCCAUUUAAUUUGCACUGGAACACAAAUUAUAUCAUUGUCAUGAUAAUCUGAAAAUCAUGUUGAAAACAUGUUUGCUUCCCCACUUGCCCGACGCAUUUGGAAAAUAUUGAAUUCUGUUUUCUAUCUAUAAGCACCAGUAUAAAAUUUUAUGUCCAGUUCAUAGAUUUUUGUGAAGUACUAAACUCCAAAGCUAAGUCAGGUCAUAUGGCAUGCAGUGCUAUCUGAAGAUUGUGAAAAGAAGGCUAUGAUGAAGGGGAUAAAUCAUGGGGCGUGUGACUAUUUGGUGAAGCCAGUGCAUACCAACGAGCUAAAAAAUAUAUGGCAGCAUGUUGAAAGCAGGAGAAAUUCUGAAGCAAUAAGGCACAUUAGCAGGGACGAUGAUGACGACCAGAGAUCACAGCUUGGGACUGCUGCCAAGAGCAAUGAUGGAGCUAAUACUGACGAGAGCAAAGAGAGCACACAUGCAUCCGCUACCCAGAAGAAGCCAAAAGUGGCAUGGACAAUCGAGCUGCAUACAAAGUUUAUGGAAGCUAUCAACCAGAUCGGCCUUUAUAGUAAGACACACAUUAUGUCCUUAUUAAAUGACACAACACUUGUUGUUACUUGGGAUUUUCCAUUAACAAUUUUUUGAUUACAUUACUAUAGGGGCUACUCCAAAAAAGAUUCUUGAGCUGAUGAAUGUGGAUUACCUCACUAGAAAAAAUGUAUCGAGUCAUCUACAGGUUUAUUUUCAACCCUUUUCUUUAUUUGUCACAUGUUUAUGUUCCAUUUAUUCAUAGUCUAACAUUUUGUCAUAUAUAAGUGUGAGCUUAUAUUUUUUGGAGGAACAUAUUAGUCAAAGGUUUAUUAAUGCACCCAACAUGAAAAUGUGUGUAAUUGUAAUCUUUUUUGUCCUUGAAAAUGUGAGGUUUAUCUUAUAUAAUGCAUGCCCCAUACUUUUUGAACCCAUGCAACACUUUCAGUUAUUUUUAUUCCCACAUGUCCACCAUUAGUAUUUCCCAUGAGCGUGCAUCUCAUAUACAUGUUUAUUUGUCUAUAUUGUUAUUUCAGAAGUAUAAAUUGUACUUGAAAAAAGUCAACUCAAACCCACUUGGUGAUGCAUGUGUAAGAUGGAACUCUUUCAUGAACAAUUGGGAGAGUUUUAUGCAUAACCAUGAGCAUGAAAGGUGGGGUGUGUCCUCAGGUAGCAUCGCCUCGUGGAGUCCGAACCAUUACGGUGCAGCGGUUCACUUAGGUCAGCAUACAAACACCCAGGGGAGUAUGUCCAUGGGUUCAUUAAUCAGUGGUGGUACAAUGCUGGGGUAUUUGGUACCACAGACGCCCUCUAUGGGAAUAUUUUCUGGCUUGAAUGAGCAUAUAGUUCCAUUCAACAUACCUAGCAACCCAAGCUCUAUAGGGAUGUUGAAUGCAAACAUCAGUGUUCCAAUGGAAGCACCUCAGUUUGUUUACAGCGACCCAAUCACUACAUUAGUGGCAGGCUUCAGCGAGAAGAUGGCGCCAUUCAACAUAGCAAGCAACAUGGGCUCGGUUGGAAUGAUGUUAAAUGGCAAGUAUGCACCUGGUACAGGAAGAACUUCAGUGGUAGAGACUGAGAUGGUUAACUAUGGAAGAAUUAGUUCUGCACUUUCCAACCAUCAGAUAUAUGAUUUCGUCCCAUUGACACAUAUGCAUGAAGUCGGUGAUGCAUCUGGUAUUUUCCAUGUGCAAGAAGGAACAGUUGAUCAGCAAGCACUUAGUAGUCAACUGAAUGGCAUCAAUGACUUGUCAUCAGUCGGUAUUAAUGAAGUAAGAAUGUUUCUCCUUGACAUGUAUCUAGUCUAUGCAUAUGAAAUUUUGAAAUGAACAGGUGUAUUUAAAUCAAACUUUCUUUCUUGUUGUAGGAUUUCAUUGGAGAGGAUGCGGUCAUGGAUGGAUAAUGAAACUUAUGUUGGUUAACCCAACCUAGAUGCAAGAUAUUUUUCGCAUGUGUGUUGGGCACUUUUAAUGUGCCAUUCCUUUGUUCUUGCACAAUGUACCAUGAAACUGUCAGAUUUAUGUAGUCUAGUUGGAAGUACGGUCGUGUCGGGGCUUCUAUUUUACUCCAACUAUUUUUUAAGUUUUCGUUUCCAUCUGAGAUCAAAAUGGUGUUUGGUUAUGUUAUUUCUGAUGUAAGCAUUUUUGUUCUAUAUAUUAUUGAUAUGAUGUUGCAUCUUUUCCCGAGACAACAUUUCAAGGUGAAAACAUGUCCCCCUGUCUAUGACAUGGUCUUUAGGACGCAUAUUUUAGACACGGCUUAGGGAAAAAUCAUACAUUAAAUUUUCUAUAAAGGCAUAUACAUGUUUUUCCCUGCAUUUAAUGUUCAUUGCAAAAGUGUCAAAAGUAGAAACCGAGUGAAGAGAACCCUAGUCUUCAUUAUCCAUGUAUAAAUGCUUCACUUUUCCAAUUCUGAUGUCGUGUGAUAGAAGUUGCUUGCACUAAUGUAUUAUCCUAAUAUUCUGUGCCUAUUACCAUAUAACAUAAAGGAAAUUAUUUAGUUUUGGAUGUAGAAAAUAUUUAUUUACCUUAAUUGUGAAAGUCAGUGGUGCCUAACUUUUUUUUGUGAAUGGUGGUGCCUAACUUAAACAUCUGCAGUCAAGAAUAUGGUUUAUGAACGCCUAGGCCAUCAUCACAACAUCUUCAAACAUCAUGCAAAUCAUGCACCUGAAUAAUUAUGUUAUUAGAUACAAUAUGAUAUCUCAAACCCUAUUAACUUCAUUUAAGGGAUAUGGUGCUGCUUACUACUGUUGUGGAAAAUGCUAACAAAAACUCAAAAAUGACAAUGGAAGGAAUCAAUGUACCACAUGACAAUUGGAGAUGAUGUUAGAUAAUCUUGUCUGUUAGGUUAGAUAUAGUUGCUACGGGGUCUACUAGGUAGUCUACUAGGACAUGUUGGAGUUAGCUUGCAUGCCAUGUGCUGGUGCUAAGAAUUCCAGUUAGCACUUGUCCGGCUGGAAGUAGUAUAUUGCCGUGCCAUAGUUUGAGUUUAGUAGGAGCCCAAGGCAGAGUUGGUCCAUCUGGUAAUUGGGUAGUGUUCUAGUACUAUCCCAGUUAUAUAUUGCCUAUGCUUGCUGCUCGCAAUAUACUACCUCCAGAUGAACCAAACGUUAGCGGCUUAACUAUGAAAGCAGUUAUAUAUAGAGCACUAUCUUUCUUAUCCGACUAAGGCUUUGAACCCAUAAGUAUCGCGUGAGUGUUAGCAAUUGUGAAAGACUAAAUGAUAGUUGAGUAUGUGGACUUGCUGAAAAGCUCUUAUAUUGAAUCUCUCCGAUGUUAUGAUAAAUUGCAAUUGCUUCAAUGACUGAGAUCAUAGUUGUUAGUUUUCAAUGAAGUUUUUGAUUCAUACUUUACCUUGUGAAUGAAUUGUUACUUUAGCAUAAGAAAUUAUAUAACAAUAUAUGUUGCUCUUCUAAAAUAUGAUCAUGAUGCCCUCAUGUCCGUAUUUUAUUUCAUCGACACCUCUAUCUCUAAACACGUGGACAUAUUUUUCGAUUUUGGCUUUCGCUUGAGGACAAGCGAGGUCUAAACUUGGGGGAGUUGAUACGUCCAUUUUGCAUCAUGCUUUCAUAUUGAUAUUUAUUGCAUUAUGGGUUGUUGUUAAACAUUAUAGCACAAUACUUAUGCAUUUUCUCUCUUAUUUUACAAGUUUUACAUGAAGAGGGAGAAUGCCGGUAGCUGGAAUUCUGGACUGGAAAAGGAGCAAAUAGAUCUAUUCUGCACAACUCCAAAAGUCCUGAAACUUUAUGGAGAAUUAUUUUUAAUAAAAAAUAUUGGGCAAAGAAAGUACCAAAGGGGCCCCACCAGGAAGCCACAAGGGUGGGGGCGCGCCCUACCCCCUGGGCGCGCCCACUAGUAGAAAAAGGGCCUAUUGUCCUGGUUCGUAAGGGCCAUUUGUCCCGGUUAUUGAACUGGGAUUAAAGUGUCGGUACUAAUUCCCUAGACCUUUAGUCCCUGUUCUUACACAAACCGGGACAGAUGGGCCUACACAUGGCCGGUGCGGCAAGCCCAGGCAGGAGGCCCUUUGGUCCCAGUUGGUGGCACCAACCGGGACCAAUAGGCAUCCACGCGUCAGCAUUUCAGGGGCUGGGGUUUUUNNNNNNNNNNNNNNNNNNNNNNNNNNNNNNNNNNNNNNNNNNNNNNNNNNNNNNNNNNNNNNNNNNNNNNNNNNNNNNNNNNNNNNNNNNNNNNNNNNNNNNNNNNNNNNNNNNNNNNNNNNNNNNNNNNNNNNNNNNNNNNNNNNNNNNNNNNNNNNNNNNNNNNNNNNNNNNNNNNNNNNNNNNNNNNNNNNNNNNNNNNNNNNNNNNNNNNNNNNNNNNNNNNNNNNNNNNNNNNNNNNNNNNNNNNNNNNNGGGUUAGGGGGUUUUGGGGGGUUGAUUUAUGUGUUUCAUAUAUUGUGUUAGCUAGCUAAUUAAUAGAGAGAGAAGCGUCCUCUCUUAUCUCCGUGCUUGGUCGACACUACGUACUAUACAUAUAGAGAGGACUAGACACGGUAGCUAGUAAGCAAAUGAAGGAAACAGAAGAUCGUCAUGAACAUAUGCAUACAGAGAGAAGUGAUAUCGACCACCUCUCCUUGUUUGAGAGAUUGGUCAAAUAACAAGUUCUCGUAUAUCUAUCCGACGCUACUGGCCACAUAUAUACAAUAUAAUUAUCUCUUACAAUAUAAUCUCCUAAUUCCAAAUGAACUCAGGGUCCACAUGGUAUUCUCCGUCUUUAGCGAUCACGUGGUCAAGAAAGAAUGCCGCCAGUUCCUCUUGAAUUGCUCGCAUACGAUCCGGUGGUAGGAGUUCAUCCCGCAUCUGAAAUAUCUAAUUUGAAUAAGGGGGUCAAUACAUAUAUAUGAAUAAAUGAAACUCAAAAUUAAUGAUGGCAAUAAAAUAAAAUUGUGAAUAUUAUUAUUUACGCACUUCAUAUUGUUUGUCAGAGUAGCCCCACUCACAGGUCGUGUGGAGGAUGGACUUGCAAAUGUAGUAUCCACAGUAAUCAUUCCCUUGUUCCUGCCAUAACCACUUUACAAGAAAUAGAGGUCAAUCAAACUGAUAAUUAGCAAGCACGCUAAAUGGUAUUGAUGAAACUAGCGCUUGAAUCACUAGGAGAUGAACGGAACAUGCUACUAUAGUACUUACUUUCGGGUGUCUAAAUUGCAGCUUCUUCGGCAGUCCCGGAGUUUUUGAGGUGAAUUUUUUCCAAACCCUGCCAGACAAAGAAAACAGUUACUUGAUAUGAGGAAAUAAACAAAGCUGCCGAUAUGGUGCGAUAAUGAUCGAUUUAACUUCUCUAGAAUUUCAGUCAUGUCCGCAUACUCCUUGGGAUCUUUUCAUCUUGAGUCUAAGACGGUUACUAGUCCCUGCUCAAACUUAAUCUCUAGGAUAAUAUAGUGGAACCUGCGCACGCAUGCAUAACUCAUCAAUUACAUUACUAUAACCUCGACUAAUAAGGGAAACCGAAUAUGCACAAGACAGUAACACUCACUUGAAUUCGUAAGGGAAGAGUAUUAUAGCUUUGUUUUGAUUUAAUACAAAUGAUUGUAGUAGCUUGGCCUCGGUAUCUUUGGCCUGAGAUUCAACCAUAUAUUCAUCUAUGAGAUUUGUGUUAAUGAACCCAAUAUCACCGAUUUGUCUUUUCUUGAAUUCGGCGAUCUUCAAUCUGCAUAAUAUAGUGAGGAUAAUUAAAAAUACAUGCAAUGAAAGAGCUGACCUAUAUAUAGAGACUUAAUGAUAGAAGUAGUACUACUUACAAGCAGUAGUAAGUGAUCAUUAAUUUAUCGAGGGCCUUUAGAUUGAAAAAUGCGAAGAACUCCUCAAAUGGAGCAUUCGGCAGUUCAAUUCCAAUGAGGUCAUGCUCCUCUCUAACUCUCAGCGUCAAAAUAUUCCCCCUCUCCGACUCUCUGCAGGUUUUCAUGUACCAAUUAUGGAAUCUUCGCAUCAUCGUUGUUAGAGAUCUUUCAUCUUUGACGAGAGGCUUCCAGUACACGUAUUUGUGUUCGUCCACCUCCAAGAAAUCAUAAUGUACAUCGUCGGGCAGGUAAUCUCCAAGAUUGUUAUAACCGGGCACCAUCGCCCCGAUCAUUAGCGACGAUAUCUGCUACGUCUUGAGCUUGCGUUGGUUUUCCUUGAAGAGGAAAGGGUGAUGCAGCAAUAGUAGCGUAAGUAUUUCCCUCAGUUUUUGAGAACCAAGGUAUCAAUCCAGCAGGAGGCUCCUCAAAAGUCCCACACACCUACACUAACAAACAAAGAACUCGCAACCAACACAAUAAAGGGUUUGUCAAUCCCUUCACGGCCACUUGCGGAAGUGAGAUCUGAUAGAGAUAAUAUGAUAAGAUAAAUAUAUUUUUGGUAUUUUAUAAUAUAGAUAGGAAAAGUAAAGAUGCAAAUAAAAGUAGAUUGAAAGCUUAUAUGAUAAGAGAUAGACCCGGGGGCCAUAGUUUCACUAGUGGCUUCUCUUAAGAUAGCAUAGGUAUUACGGUGGGUGAAAAAGUACUGUCGAGCAAUUUAUAGAAAAGCGAAUAAUUAUGAGAUUAUCUAGGCAUGAUCAUGUAUAUAGGCAUCACGUCCGUGACAAGUAGACCAACUCCUGCCUGCAUCUACUAUUAUUACUCCACACAUCGACCGCUAUCCAGCAUGCAUCUAGAGUAUUAGGUUCAUAAAGAACAGAGUAACGCAUUAAGAAAGAUGACAUGAUGUAGAGGGAUAAACUCAUGCAAUAUGAUAUAAACCCAUCUUUUUAUCCUCGAUGGCAACAAUACAAUACGUGCCUUGCUGCCCCUGCUGUCAUUGGGAAAGGACACCGCAAGAUUGAACCCAAAGCUAAGCACUUCUCCCAUUGCAAGAAAGAUCAAUCUAGUAGGCCAAACAAAACUGAUAAUUCGAAGAGACUUGCAAAGAUAACUUAAUCACACAUAAAAGAAUUCAGAGGAGAUUCAAAUAUUUCUCAUAGAUAAACUUGAUCAUAAACCCACAAUUCAUCGGAUCUCGACAAACACACCGCAAAAAGAGUUACAUCGAAUAUAUCUCCAAGAAGAUCGAGGAGAACAUGGUAUUGAGAUCCAAAAAGAGAGAAGAAGCCAUCUAGCUAAUAACUAUGGACCCGAAGGUCUGUGGUAAACUACUCACAACUCAUCGGAGGGACUAUGGUGUUGAAGUAGAAGCCCUCUGUGGUUGAUUCACCCUCCGGCGGGGCGCCGGCGAAGGCUCCAAGAUGGGAUCUCGCGGAUACAGAAGGUUACGGUGGUGGAAAUAGUUUUUCGUCGUAUCCUUUGAUGUUCUCGGGGUACGUGGGUAUAUAUAGGAGGAAGAAGUAGGUCGGUGGACACCCGAGGGGCCCACGAGAUAGGGGGCGCGCCCAGUAGGGGUUGGCGCGCCCUCCACCCUCGUGGCCGCCUGAUACGUCUCCAACGUAUCUAUAAUUUUUGAUUGUUCCAUGCUAUUAUAUUACCCUUUUUGGAUGUUUAUGGGCUUUAUUUUACACAUUUAUAUCAUUUUUGGGACUAACCUACUAACCGGAGGCCCAGCCCGUAUUGCUGUUUUUUUUGCCUAUUUCAGUAUUUCGAAGAAAAGGAAUAUCAAACGGAGUCCAAACGGAAUGAAACCUUCGGGAGCGUGAUUUUUGGAACGAACGUGAUCCAGAGGACUUGGAGUGCAAGUCAAGAAGCAGCCGAGGCGAGCACGAGGGUGGAGGGCGCGCCCCACUAUCUCGUGGGCCCCUCGGGCGGCCACCGACCUACUUCUUCCUCCUAUAUAUACCCACGUACCCUGAGAACAUUCAGGGAGCCAACGAAAAACUAUUUCCACCGCCGUAACCUUCUGUAUCUGCGAGAUCCCAUCUUGGAGCCUUCGCCGGUGCUCCGCCAGAGGGGGAAUCGACCACGGAGGGCUUCUACAUCAACACCAUAGCCCCUCCGAUGAGUUGUGAGUAGUUUACCACAGACUUUCGGGUCCAUAGUUAUUAGCUAGAUGGCUUCUUCUCUCUUUUUGGAUCCCAAUACCAUGUUCUCCUCGAUCUUCUUGGAGAUCUAUUCGAUGUAACUCUUUUUGCGGUGUGUUUGUCGAGAUCCAAUGAAUUGUGGGUUUAUGAUCAAGUUUAUCUAUGGGAAAUAUUUGAAUCUCCUCUUAAUUCCUUUAUGUAUGAUUGAGUUGCAAGUCUCUUUGAAUUAUCAGUUUGGUUUGGCCUACUAGAUUGAUCUUUCUUGCAAUGGGAGAAGUGCUUAGCUUUUGGGAUCAAUCUUGCGGUGUCCUUUCCCAGUGACAAUAGGGGCAGCAAGGCACGUAUUGUAUUGUUGCCAUCGAGGAUAAAAAGAUGGAUUUUAUAUCGUAUUGCAUGAGUUUAUCCCUCUACAUCAUGUCAUCUUUCUUAAUGCGUUACUCUGUUCUUAUGAACUUAAUACUCUAGAUGCAUGCUGGAUAGCGGUCGAUGUGUGGAGUAAUAGUAGUAGAUGCAGGCAUGAGCCGGUGUACUUGUCGCGGACGUGAUGCCUAUAUACAUAAUCAUGCCUAGAUAAUCUCAUAAUUAUCCGCUUUUCUAUCAAUUGCUCGUAAGUAAUUUGUUCACCCACCAUAAUAUUUAUGCUAUCUUGAGAGAAGCCACUAGUGAAACCUAUGGCCCUCGGGUCUAUCCUUUAUCAUAUAAGAUUUCAAUCUACUUUUAUUUGCAUCUUUACUUUUCCAAUCUAUAUUAUAAAAUACCAAAAAUAUAUUUAUCUUAUCAUACUAUCCUAUCUCUAUCAGAUCUCACUUUCACAAGUGGCCGUGAAGGAAUUGAGAAUCCCUUUAUUGCAUUGGUGGCGAGUUCUUUGUUUGUUUGUGUAGGUGUGUGGGAAUUUUGAGGAGCCUCCUACUGGAUUGAUACCUUGGUUCUCAAAAAGUGAGGGAAAUACUUGCGCUACUAUUGCCGCAUCACCCUUUCCUCUUCAAGGAAAACCAAUGGAAGCUCAUGACGUAGCACCGCCUCGACUGCUUCUUGACUUGCACUCCAAGUCCUCUGGAUCACGUUCAUUCCAAAAAUCAAUCUCCCGAAGGUUUUAUUCCAUUUGGACUCCAUUUGAUAUUCCUUUUUUUCGAAACACUAAAAUAGGCAAAAAACAGCAAUACGGGAUGGGCCUCCGGUUUGUAGGUUAGUCCAAAAAAUGAUAUAAAUGUGUAAAGUAAAGCCCAUAAACAUCCAAAACGGGUAAUAUAAUAGCAUGGGACAAUAAAAAAUUAUAGAUACGUUGGAGACGUAUCAAGCAUCCCCAAGCUUAAUUCCUGCUCGUCCUCGAGUAGGUAAAUGAUAAAAACAGAAUUUUUGAUGUGAAAUGCUACCUAGAAUAAUUCUCAAUGUAAUUUUUUAUUGUGGCAUGAAUGUUCAGAUCCAAAUGAUUCAAAAUAAAAGUUCAUAUUGACAUGAGAAAUAGUAAUACUUCAAGCAUACUAAUCAAAGCAAUCAUGUCUUCUCAAAAUAAUAUGGCUAAAGAAAGUUCAUCCCUACAAAAUCAUAUAGUUAGUCUAUGCUUCAUUUUCAUCACACAAAAAUGCUCCCAAAGUAUACACCCCCGAUGAAAAGCCAAGCAAUUGUUUUGUACUUAAAUAAUCUCAAACUUUUUCAACUUUCACGCAAUACAUGAGCGUGAGCCAUGGAUAUAGCACUAUGGGUGGAAUAGAAUAUGAUGAUGGGGAUUGUGUGGAGAAGACAAAAAAGGAGAAAGUCUCACAUUGACGAGGAUAAUCAACGGGCUAUGGAGAUGCCCAUCAAUUGAUGUCAACAUGAGGAGUAGGGAUUGCCAUGCAACGGAUGCACUAGAGCUAUAAAUGUAUGAAAGCUCAACAAAAGAAACUAAGUGGGUGUGCAUCCAACUUGCUUGCUCACGAAUACCUACGGCAUUUUGAGGAAGCCCAUCGUAGGAAUAUACAAGCCAAGUUCUAUAAUGAAAAAUUCCCACUAGUAUAUGAAAGUGACACCAUAUGAGACUCGCUAUAUGAAGAACAUGGUGCUACUUUGAAGCACAAGUGUGGAAAAAGAGAUAGUAACAUUGCCCCCUUUUUAUUUUUGUUUUCCUCUUUUUUUCUUUUUUUUUCUUUGGCCUGUCUUUUUCUUUUUCUUUUUCUUUUGGCCUUUCUUUUCUUUUUCUUUUUGGGGACAAUGCUCUAAUAAUGAUGAUCAUCACACUUUUAUUGAUUUACAACUCAUGAAUUACAACUCAAAACUAGAACAAGAUAUGACUCUAUAUGAAUGCCUCCGGCGGUGUACCGGGAUGUGCAAUAAAUCAAGAGUGACAUGUAUGAAAAUUAUGCAUGGUGGCUUUGCCACAAAUACGAUGUCAAAUACAUGAUCAUGCAAGGCAAUAUGACAAUAAUGAUGCGUGUCAUGAUGACGGAAUAGUGGAAAGUUGCAUGGCAAUAUAUCUCGGAAUGGCUAUGGAAAUGCCAUAAUAGGUAGGUAUGGUGGCUGUUUUGAGGAAGAUAUAAGGAGGUUUAUGUGUGAUAGAGCGUAUCAUAUCACGGGGUUUGGAUGCACCGGCGAAGUUUACACCAACUCUCAAGGUGAGAAAGGGCAAUGCACGGUACCGAAGAGGCUAGCAAUGAUGGAAAGGUAAGAGUGCGUAUAAUCCAUAGUCUCAACAUUAGUCAAAAGAACUCAUAUACUUAUUGCAAAAAUCUACAAGUCAGCAAAAACCAAGCACUACACGCAUGCUCCUAGAGGGAUAGAUUGGUAGGAAAAGGCCAUCACUCGUCCUCGACCGCCACUCAUAAGGAUGCACAAUCCAAGGACACCUCAUGUUUCAAAUUUGUUACACAACUUUAACCAUACGUGCAUGCUACAGGACUUGCUAACUUCAACACAAGCAUUCUUUAAAUUCAUAAUCACCAAACUAGCAUGACUUUAAUAUCACUACCUCCAUAUCUCAAAACAAUUAUCAAGUAUCAAAUUGAUCAUAGCAUCCAAUUCACUUCCUAUGAUAGUUUUUAUUAUACCCAACUUGGAUGCCCACCAUUCUAGGACCAAUUUUAUAACCAUAGAAAAUACCAUGCUGUUCUAAGAUACUCUCAAAAUAAUAUAAGUGAAGCAUGAGAGACUAACAAUUUCUACAAAAUUAAUCCACCGUCGUGCUCUAAAAGAUAUAAGUGAAGCACCAGAGCAAAAACUUUCUAGCUCAAAAGAUAUAAGUGAAGCACAUAGAGUAUUCUAAUAAAUUCCAAUCAAGUGGGCUUCUUCCAAAAGGUGUGUACAUCAAGGAUGAUUGUGGUAAACUGAAAAGAAAAUACUAAUAUCAUACAAGACGCUCCAAGCAAAACACAUAUCAUGUGGCGAAUAAAAAUAUAGCUCCAAGUAAAGUUACCAAUGAACAAAGACGAAAGAGGGGAUGCCUUCUGGGGGCAUCCCCAAGCUUAGGCUUUUGGCUAUUCUUGAAUAUCUUGGGUUGCCAUGGGCAUCCCCAAGCUUAGGCUUUUGCCACUCUUUAUUCCAUAGUCCAUCAAAUCUUUACCCAAAACUUGAAAACUUCACAACACAAAACUCAACAGGAAAUCUCAUAAGCUCCGCUAGUGAAAGAAAGCAAAACCACCACAUAAGGUACUGUAAUGAACUAAUUCUUUAUUUAUAUUGAUGUUAAACCUACUAUAUUCCAAGUUCUCUAUGGUUUAUACCACUUAAUACUAGCCACUUUGCCACUAGGUGGAGAUGCCCAUGGUAGGCAUCCAUGGCAGGUUUGAACUACUUCAGACAUAAUAUGCAAGUUGCGACACAUCUAUCCAUUCAUUGACCUUUUUUGACUGAGGAAACUUUAGAAAAAGCAAAAUUUGUCGAAAACCCAAGCAACAUGGAUUGGUGCCUUGAAUUGGUCAUACAAGACCAUGGAAAAAAUACUGGGGGCAUGGAUGCCUUUCUUUGGUAUUCCAGCUGCUCGCAAAUGUUGGUUUUUUUUCAAAAAUGUCCAAAAAAACACCAUGUUCAACAUACGUGUCCGAGUAGUCAUCAAUGCCAGUUUUGAAGCAAAAAUGUAUUUAAAAUCAUAAUUUACAUAUACUAAAGCUGUCAUUUUAAGUUUCUAACAUAACUAAUAAAUACAAAAUGAUAGAAUUGAAAAAAAAGCUUUUUAAAGCAUUUAAUAAAUAUAUAAAUGAAAAAAGAAUUUUAAAUCACAAUUUCAAAUAGUGAUUUAAAACUGUUAUUUUGGAAUUUCAAUUUUUUGAAUAGGUUUAAAAAAAAUAAAGUUUAAAAAGGAGAAAAGAUAAAUUAACGAAAAAAGAGAAAAACCAAAAAAUAGAAAAGAAAAAAAAAUCUUAGGCGGUUCCCAACUAAGCGACGGCAUCGCUCCUGUCGGGCGACUAUUGGAAUUUGUUCCAAAUUUUAAAAAUGUUCUCAUUUUCAAAAUAAUUGUUCACAAAUUGAAAAAUUGUUCGGGAAAAUUUAGAACACUUUUUUGAUAUCAUUUAUUUAGUCUCAUUUCUAAAAAUAUAUAAUUUAAUAUUUUGUCCGUGCUCUCAGAAAAUGUUUGUUUUCACAAUUGUGUUUGUGCUUUUGGAAAAAUUAUUCACAUUUUGACAUUCUGAACAAUUUUUCCAAGACACAAACAUUUUCUGAAAUUACCUUAUAAUUUCUGAAAAUGCAAAUAUUUUUUAAUUUAUGAACAAAAUUUGGAAAUAACAAACCGUUUGAACUUUUGAACAACAUUUGAAAGCUCGGCCAUUAUUGAAAAAGAAUGUAACUUGAAAAGGAAAAUAAACAAAUAAAAAGAUAUUAUGGAAAAAAGACCAGUUCACAAAGUGUUACUAAAAUCUUUAAUAAAAUUCCCAGCCAGUGCAUUACUUAAGGUGUCUAGCUUUAGAUCGUUCACUAAAGGCAUGCUGUGGCAGUGGUUGUGGACGUAGUUAAUGUUUUAAGUGGUCUUGAGUUUGAUUCCCAGCUGUUGCGAAUUUUCUGCUAUUUUUCAUUGCAUGCCACCACAAAUGGGCUGGCCCAAGUAAGCUGCCCGGUGUAUACGUUACUAUAAAAGUAGAUACAAAUUGUGAAAGGGGGGCUGUACCAAAGCGGACUGAUAUUAAAACAACAUAUUAGUGCAACUGCAAAUUCAGUAACUUGUCACUCAACACCAGAAUUUCUAAAACGUAAGCAGUCAUACGCCGAAUCAUGAAUGCAAAGCUUCUCUUUGCUCUGAAACUGUUGCGAUGAAUAUUGAACUCGGGGGCAUACAUGUAUUUGUUCCCACAGAAAAUUUAAUUUCACAGUUUUGACAUACGCCCUAUCUAUGACGCGUUGGUCCAAACCCACAAUCAUAGACAGGGGCAAUGUGUUUUACUUUGCAGGGGAUAUCCCAUGGAAAGAAGCAACAUUACAUAUCAUAGCACCUUCUUCGCAAUAAACAUACUAUUUCUUAUGAUCCCCAGAAAAGAACACCAAUUUAAAAGGAGUGUUGCUACGCAUACCACACUAUGCGUCCGACUUUCAUAAGACAAUGAGGAUCGAGCUGCCUUUGCAUUGGAGUAAACUGGUAACUGUAGCAUGAGAAUUGAUUAGUCAUUGUACUAUGAUCGUAUCAAUAAGUAUCCUACGCACAUGUGAUGCUUGUACAAGCCUGCAACCCUGCUUCUAACUAGACUACCACAAUUUGCACAAUUUCGCAGUUAC
RNAcentral lists this long non-coding RNA (29055 nucleotides) under Triticum aestivum (bread wheat). RNAcentral describes it as "long non-coding RNA (TAES_LNC017005)". The record is from RNAcentral. Lineage: Eukaryota; Viridiplantae; Streptophyta; Magnoliopsida; Poales; Poaceae.